Molecule: long non-coding RNA, 538 nt
Filed under: Brassica napus (rape)
Lineage: Eukaryota; Viridiplantae; Streptophyta; Magnoliopsida; Brassicales; Brassicaceae
Description: long non-coding RNA (BNAP_LNC002245)
Source: RNAcentral
ACUAUAUGUUAUGAUAGACCAAUUUAUUUCUCUAAAGGUUCUAAGAGUGAUUUUAGUAAUGACAUGUGUCAUAGCAAACAAGUUAUAAUGUUUCUCAAUAAUAUAUAAAUGAUAAUAAUUUAGUUAUUAAGAAACCAUAACCUGUAGAUUAUAAAGAAAAAAACUAAAACUUAUUUUGUAUAACUAGUUGGUAAGGACAAAUUUUCUUUUUAAUCAAUGUUCAGUUCUCGACCGUUAUUUAUUUAUUCUUUAGUAUAUAUUUAUGGGUUAAUUUGAUGAAUAAUUAAUUAAAAAAUAUUAGAUUUGUAAUAAAAGGAUAGAGAAAAAUAGAAAAAGAAAUGAGGGGAGAAAAGAUAAUAUGAUUAGUUGAUGAAAUAUAGUUUUUUUUCUUCUGGUUAUUGGAUCAAAUUUUCCUAUAAUUAUAUAGCAUUUGUCCACUAAAAACCGGGAAACGCACACCCUCAACUCUAAACUUUAAGUCUAAAUUAGUUAACCCUAGGGAUAUAAAUAUCUUUUACCCUUUAUUAAAAAUGAGAGU